This 483-nucleotide ribosomal RNA is filed under the name uncultured bacterium. RNAcentral describes it as "bacterial SSU rRNA". It matches the Rfam family "Bacterial small subunit ribosomal RNA", at positions 30 to 507 of the family's 1533-position model. The record is from RNAcentral.
AUUGAACGCUGGCGGUAUGCUUAACACAUGCAAGUCGAACGCGAAAGUUCCUUCGGGGACGAGUAGAGUGGCGGACGGGUGAGUAACGCGUAGGAAUCUACCUUAUAGUGGGGGACAACCCGGGGAAACUCGGGCUAAUACCGCAUAAUAUCUAAGGAUCAAAGUGUGGGAUCUUCGGACCACACGCUAUGAGAUGAGCCUGCGUCGGAUUAGCUUGUUGGUGAGGUAAUGGCUCACCAAGGCGACGAUCCGUAGCUGGUCUGAGAGGACGAUCAGCCACACUGGGACUGAGACACGGCCCAGACUCCUACGGGAGGCAGCAGUGGGGAAUAUUGGACAAUGGGGGCAACCCUGAUCCAGCAAUACCGCGUGUGUGAAGAAGGCCUUCGGGUUGUAAAGCACUUUCAGUAGGGAAGAAUGGCCAAAAGUUAAUAGCUUUUGGAAGUGACGUUACCUACAGAAGAAGCACUGGCUAACUCUGUG